UGUUAUUCCACUUGUCUGUCUCUCUGUAUCCAUGCCAGCGUCCUCUAAGUGUGAUACAGUGGAGAGUUAACACUACUAAGUUUAAGAUAAUCUCUCUUAUUACAAAGCUUCUCUCUCUCUCUCUCUCUCUCUCUCUCUCUCUACCUGCAAGUGUUCAGAGAAAUAGACUGCCUUUAGUGUAUCUCAAAGCAAAACACAAAAUAUGCUUCCAUAAGUCUAUAAUAUUCUCAGUUAAUGUUAUGUAGUUGUUCUCUCACUCCUCAAGCAUUUUCAUUCAGUUUUCAUGCAGUAAGAAAUGUACCAGUCAGUAAGAAAUAUAUUGGUGUUUCUUACUAAAACAAAGAAAAUCACAAAAAAUGUUGAUGGUAUUCUUACUUUAUACAUUGCCUCUCUCUCUCUCUCUCUCUCUCUCUCUCUCUCUCUCUCUCUCCUACUACCAUUCAGCUUUCAUAAAGUGGGAAAUAUACAUACAUUCCUUUAUACAACAAAGCAAAACAUACAUUCACUUAGCCUAUAAAAUUCUCUCUCUCUCUCUCUCUCUGUCUAGCUUUUAUACAGUAAGAAAUAUAUAGACAUUCUUGUAACUUUUUUUCUUUUUUGGCUAUUUUAAACAUUGUACUAUAAGUUUCACACAUCCUGGUUUACAUUUGCACUCCUUGUCUCUGUCUUGACGCACCAGCCAAGCGCACACACACCAGAUGCUACACAGUCCCUUCCUUACACUCGUCAUUCAUGAGUCUAUGCUGAGGAGUCCUGCAUUAGAGGUAGAACAUUGUAAUCUCCUACCAAACUAUCAUAUACAUAUUUAAUCUCAUAAUGUCCUUUUCAGUGCCAAACUAUCAAUUAUUUCUGCUUUAAUCCCCUCAGGUUAAAGACAAGUAACCUCAUUCAUUGGUCUUGCUUCCACUGCAUGACACUUCAUACUCUUCUGUCCCUUCCUCUAAUGGUGCUGUCCCUAACAAACACUACUAACACACA
Long non-coding RNA from Portunus trituberculatus (swimming crab), 978 nucleotides. RefSeq lists it as uncharacterized. The transcript is spliced from 2 exons. The record is from RefSeq and is a predicted model, not a curated record. Lineage: Eukaryota; Metazoa; Arthropoda; Malacostraca; Decapoda; Portunidae.